This is an RNA transcript of Chrysochloris asiatica (Cape golden mole), 878 nucleotides long. It is a transcript of the gene named small nuclear ribonucleoprotein-associated protein B'-like, with no coding region annotated. The record is from RefSeq and is a predicted model, not a curated record. Lineage: Eukaryota; Metazoa; Chordata; Mammalia; Afrosoricida; Chrysochloridae. The transcript has a single exon.
UAGUGGCGGCGGGAAUCCGAUAGAAAGUGGCAUCUUGGCCUCUGCGGAGGCGAAUCCAGCGAUCAUCAGAACCGCCACCAUGACUGUCGGCAAGAGCAGCAAGAUGCUCCAGCACAUCGACUACAGGAUGAGGUGCAUCCUGCAAGAUGGCCGGAUCUUCAUCGGCACCUUUAAGGCUUUUGACAAGCACAUGAACUUGAUCCUCUGUGACUGUGAUGAAUUCAGGAAGAUUAAGCCAAAGAAUUCAAAACAAGCAGAAAGGAAAGAGAAGCGAGUCCUCGGUCUGGUGCUGCUGCGAGGAGAAAACCUGGUCUCAAUGACUGUAGAGGGGCCUCCUCCCAAAGAUACUGGCAUUGCCCGAGUACCACUUGCUGGAGCAGCUGGAGGCCCAGGGAUUGACAGGGCCGCAGGCAGAGGCAUUCCAGCUAGUGUUCCAAUGCCCCAGGCUCCCGCAGGACUUGCUGGACCAGUCCAAGGAGUUGGUGGGCCUUCCCAACAGGUGAUGACCCCACAAGGAAGAGGCACUGUUGCAGCUGCUGCACAGCCAGCAUAGCAGGGGCCCCAACCCAGUACCCACCUGGCCGUGCAGGUCCUCCUCCACCUAUGGGCCGAGGGGCACCCCCUCCAGGCAUGAUGGGUCCACCUCCUGGUAUGAGGCCUCCUAUGGGUCCCCCAAUGGGAAUCCCGCCUGGACGAGGGACUCCAAUGGGCUUGCCCCCUCCAGGGAUGCGGCCACCUCCUCCAGGGAUGCGAGGGCCUCCUCCCCCAGGAAUGCGGCCACCAAGGCCCUAGACUCACCUUGGCACUCAGCUCCUUGCCUGUUUCCUGUAAGGCUGUAUAUAGUCCAUAUGUUUUCUUGUGGCUUGCAAAACUAGUUU